CAUCAAUGAGAGGAUUCCGAGGACGAGGAAGCUUACUACCACUUGGUUUUCCAACUUCAAAGAUUGGUGGCAAAGCUAAUGAACUUGGUGCCCAUGUUGUUUCUCCAUGCAAGGUUAAUGAAUCCUGCUGAGGGUGAUCUUCUAGCAUAGUUGGUGUUGAUAUAGAUUUGUCAUGAGAAUCCCUUUUUUCUUCCGAAUUUUGCAAACUGUGUUCAGGUUCCUUUGCUUCUAAAAUUGAUUCGGGUGUCAAUUGGCUUGAGGGCUUGAUUUCCAGGCCAUGUGAGGGUACAGGAUCAUGCUCAGUGGGUAUAUGCUCUACAGUUGCCAAUGGUGAUAAUAGGUUUGGACUAGAUCCUAUUGGUCUUCCUCCUGAUGCAAGGAAACCAUCCUCAGGCCUCCCAUCAAUUAUUUCUGGUAAGGUCAAGAAUGGGUUCAAGGAUUGUCCUCCCUCUAAUGGAUGACAAACCGGUUGACUGUUUGCAUUGCUGAUAACAGUUGGCAUCUCCAAUGAGAGUGGAGUUGGCUGCAAGGAAUUUUCCACAGACUCUGACGAUAGGAAAUCAAAUUGUGAUUUCUCAUCAGCUGCAAAUGGCUGUAUUGGCAGCAAGGUGCCCUCACCAUGAUCAAUCCAUUCUUUAUGUGAAGCUGGUGGAGCAGGUUGAACCUUGCCUAGCCUCCAUUGCAUAGGAGGUAGGGGUGGCA
This 702-nucleotide unclassified non-coding RNA is filed under the name Hevea brasiliensis (rubber tree). The record is from RNAcentral. Lineage: Eukaryota; Viridiplantae; Streptophyta; Magnoliopsida; Malpighiales; Euphorbiaceae.